Molecule: ribosomal RNA, 265 nt
Filed under: uncultured bacterium
Lineage: Bacteria
Description: partial 16S ribosomal RNA
Rfam family: Bacterial small subunit ribosomal RNA
Source: RNAcentral
GUCCACGCUGUAAACGAUGAGUACUAGAUGUCGGAGGUUUUGACCCCUUCGGUAUCGCAGCUAACGCAAUAAGUACUCCGCCUGGGAAGUACGGCCGCAAGGCUAAAACUCAAAGGAAUUGACGGGGGCCCCGCACAAGCGGUGGAGCAUGUGGUUUAAUUCGACGCAACGCGAAGAACCUUACCCAGGCUUGACAUGUAGAGAAUCCCUACGAAAGUAGGGAGUGCCUUCGGGAGCUCUAACACAGGUGCUGCAUGGCUGUCGU